GACGAACGCUGGCGGCGUGCUUAACACAUGCAAGUCGAACGGAAAGGCCCUGCUUUUGUGGGGUGCUCGAGUGGCGAACGGGUGAGUAACACGUGAGUAACCUGCCCUUGACUUUGGGAUAACUUCAGGAAACUGGGGCUAAUACCGGAUAGGAUCUCCUGCUGCAUGGUGGGGGUUGGAAAGUUUCGGCUGUUGUGGAUGGACUCGCGGCUUAUCAGCUGGUUGGUGAGGUAGUGGCUUACCAAGGCUUUGACGGGUAGCCGGCAUGAGAGGGUGAACGGCCACAUUGCGCCUGCGAUACGGCCCAGACUCCUACGGGAGGCAGCAGUGGGGAAUAUUGCACAAUGGGCGGAAGCCUGAUGCAGCAACGCCGCGUGCGGGAUGCCGGCUUUCGGGUUGUAAACCGAUUUCGCCUGUGACGAAGCGUGCGUGACGGUAAUGGGUAAAAAAGCACCGGCUAACUACGUG
Molecule: ribosomal RNA, 468 nt
Filed under: uncultured bacterium
Lineage: Bacteria
Description: partial 16S ribosomal RNA
Rfam family: Bacterial small subunit ribosomal RNA
Source: RNAcentral